RNAcentral lists this ribosomal RNA (449 nucleotides) under uncultured prokaryote. RNAcentral describes it as "bacterial SSU rRNA". It matches the Rfam family "Bacterial small subunit ribosomal RNA", at positions 355 to 796 of the family's 1533-position model. The record is from RNAcentral.
UGGGGAAUAUUGCGCAAUGGGCGAAAGCCUGACGCAGCCAUGCCGCGUGUGUGAAGAAGGCCCUAGGGUUGUAAAGCACUUUCAAUUGGGAAGAAAGGUUGUUGCCGAAUACGCAGCAACUGUGACGUUACCUUUAGAAGAAGCACCGGCUAACUCCGUGCCAGCAGCCGCGGUAAUACGGAGGGUGCGAGCGUUAAUCGGAAUUACUGGGCGUAAAGCGCGCGUAGGCGGUUUGUUAAGUCGGAUGUGAAAGCCCCGGGCUCAACCUGGGAAUUGCAUACGAUACUGAUCGACUAGAGUACGAGAGAGGGAGGUAGAAUUCCACGUGUAGCGGUGAAAUGCGUAGAUAUGUGGAGGAAUACCGGUGGCGAAGGCGGCCUCCUGGCUCGAUACUGACGCUGAGGUGCGAAAGCGUGGGUAGCAAACAGGAUUAGAUACCCCCGUAGUCC